Long non-coding RNA from Ochotona curzoniae (black-lipped pika), 501 nucleotides. RefSeq lists it as uncharacterized. The record is from RefSeq and is a predicted model, not a curated record. The transcript is spliced from 4 exons. NCBI's taxonomy places the organism in Eukaryota, Metazoa, Chordata, Mammalia, Lagomorpha, Ochotonidae.
UAUGGCAAUCAAAACUUCAAAGGGUAAGUUAAGAAUGUUUCCUAAUUCAUUUCAGCCUAAACUGAUCGCCGUGCCCCGUCUCACGCUGCCCGCCAGCUCCUUCCCUGGAAUAUGUUACCCAGUCUCCUUGGAAUUAUUACCCUGUCUCCUUGGAAUGGAAACUGUGUCAGACUCUGAGGAAACGCAGUCCUGACUGAGGGCCUGCUAGGCUCCAGGGCAGAAGACAAGCUGAGGAUUGAAAGCUGCACUCAUCAUUCUGACCUGGAACACCGCUUCUGUAAAGCUCAUUCCUACUUACACAUCAGUGCAGCUUUCGGGAUGUCGAGCCUCCUUAAUGUCCCAGUGCAUUCAUCUCCUGGCCAGUGGACCUGAGUCUGCCCCAUCCAAAUAGCGAUAGCACGUGUCCCUUGCGUUCACAGCCACUGGAUCAGAUCGAAUGGCCCUGCCUAAUUUGGAAGCAAUUGUCUUCUAUGUAUCCAAGAGGGGGAGGAGAAGCAGUAA